RNAcentral lists this ribosomal RNA (197 nucleotides) under uncultured bacterium. Its description in RNAcentral is "partial 16S ribosomal RNA". It matches the Rfam family "Bacterial small subunit ribosomal RNA", at positions 328 to 539 of the family's 1533-position model. The record is from RNAcentral.
ACGCUCGACACCUACGGGAGGCAGCAGUGGGGAAUAUUGCACAAUGGGGGAAACCCUGAUGCAGCGAUGCCGCGUGAAGGAAGAAGUAUCUCGGUAUGUAAACUUCUAUCAGCAGGGAAGAAAAUGACGGUACCUGACUAAGAAGCCCCGGCUAACUACGUGCUAGCAGCCGCGGUAAUCUGAGCGGCUGGCAAGGC